GUGACGGCUGGUAAGCAGGUGAGGAAUGGCAGGUCAAAAGCAAGAGGUUGAGGCAUACAGGUGCAGCAAGGGUGGAUUGCUCCUGGCUUCAACAACAAGCUGUUCAUGAGCAACUUUCAGGUGUUUCAGGAGUCCUUUAACUACAUUUGUUGCCACCAUUCUGCAAAGAAAAAACACCAACCCUUUGCUUAUACCAGUAAAUAAAGACAUCACCGACACGAGUCGCCUAUUUGUCACUGAUGGAAAGCACCUCAUUGUGUUGGAGCGAUAGACAGCAGCCACUUCCCCAUAAUAGCACCAGAACCACACUCCUAUCACAACAGAAAAGGAUGGCAUCCUGUCACGCAGGCUGUUGUUGAUGGAAAAGGUCCAUUCAAGGAUGUGUGUGGCAAAUAUCCUAAGCAAGUACAUGAUGCACAAGUGCUGAAACAGUCCUGUGACUGUUUCAGCCAACACACUGUCAAUAUCUCUGGUCGUGACGUAGAACACUUGGCUGAUGAAGCAUUUCUCUGAUACAGGCCGACUAACCCAGCAGCAGCAGAGGUACUAUCCCAGAAUAAGCAUCGUAUUGUGGAGACGACUUUUGCAAGAUGAAAAGACAUGCCAAGUGAUGGCGUCACGGUCCGUGCUUCAGGUCAAGGAAAACCUGCUAUUUUUUUGGUUCCAGCUAGAGUCUCCUUUUCCAAACCAAUUUAUUUUUGGUUGAAAAGGUUCAAAACUAGGUGCGUGAACCGGAACAGAACCUGUUUCAUAUUGCUAGAAAAGGGGUGUGAGGGGAGCUACUGUACAAGCGGAGGGAAGAGAAGAAUAAACAAGUGAAAAGACGAACGGCAUGAAGUAAACUGUGACUGCACAGGAAAAGGCAUCAUGUAUGUAUCA
Molecule: long non-coding RNA, 879 nt
Organism: Larimichthys crocea (large yellow croaker)
Lineage: Eukaryota; Metazoa; Chordata; Actinopteri; Sciaenidae
Exons: 4
Source: RefSeq, a predicted model, not a curated record